Molecule: non-coding RNA, 45 nt
Organism: Schistosoma haematobium
Lineage: Eukaryota; Metazoa; Platyhelminthes; Trematoda; Strigeidida; Schistosomatidae
Source: Rfam
AUCCAGCUGACGAGUCCCAAAUAGGACGAUACGCGUGUCCUGGAU